Long non-coding RNA from Physeter macrocephalus (sperm whale), 1690 nucleotides. RefSeq lists it as uncharacterized. The transcript has 2 exons. The record is from RefSeq and is a predicted model, not a curated record. Lineage: Eukaryota; Metazoa; Chordata; Mammalia; Artiodactyla; Physeteridae.
AGUUAAAACCAGUGGAUCAAGUCCUCAAUGGGAUAUUUUGGAGAAUGAACUAUGCAGUGAAAAGGAAAUAGUAAGAUGCACAAGAAAUUAUUCCUGUUCUGUUUUUGGAGAAAACUGGAUAUUUCAUAACAUCCGAGGUCACCAAACUCAGGAGAGGGAUUUCAGAAAUGGUUUGGUGGAGAAUCUCUGCAAAGGUAAUGAAGGUCAUCAAUGUGGAGAAACCCUGAACCAGAUUACACAUCUUACUGUGCAUAAGGGUUAUCCGACUGGAAUUCAGCCCUAUAAAUGCACUAAGUGUGGAAAAGCCUUCAGGGAUCGUUCUUUCCAGAAGAAUCAGCAAAGAUCUCACCCUGGACACAAACCUUAUGCAUGUGAAGAAUGUGGGGAAGCCUGCAGCUGUGUCUCAUGCCUAAAUCCUCCUGUGGAAACACACAUUGUAGAGAAACCCGAAAAACAUCAGGAUGCUGGGAGAGCAUCUAAAAGAUAUGUUAAGAGUGGCAGUCGUAAACAGUCUUUAGAGUGUAAGAAGUCUGGAAAAGCUCUCACUUGUCCCUCAUCCUUUAAGGGACGUGAGCGUGAUCACCGUGGACAGAAAAUCCAUGUGUGUAAAGUAUGUGGGAAAUCCUUUAUGUAUUAUUCCUACCUUGUACGGCAUGUGAGAACUCACACUGGAGAGAAACCCUAUGAAUGUAAGGAAUGUGAGAAAACCUUCCGAUAUCCUGCAUCCUUGGGAGGACAUGUGACGAUGCACACUGGAGAGAAACCUUACGUGUGUAAGGAAUGUGGGAAAACCUUCAGUUGUCCCAAAUACUUCAGAAGACACGUGAAAACACACAGUAGCAUGAAACCCUAUGAAUGUACGGAAUGCGGCAAAGCCUACAGUUGCUCCUCAUCCCUUCGAGAACACACACGAACACACAGCGAAGAGAAACCCUAUGAAUGUCAGCACUGUGGGAAAGCCUUCAGGCAUCAGCGAUAUUUUAAAAAGCAUGUGAGAAUGCACAGUGGAGUGAAACCCUAUGAAUGUAUGGAAUGCGGGAAAGCCUACAGUUGUUCCACAUCCCUCCGGGAACACGAGAGAACGCACACUGGGGAGAGGCCCUUCAAAUGCCAGCACUGCGGGAAAGCCUUCACUCGCCACGCCUCCCUUCGAGGACACAUGAGAACGCACAGUGGGGAGAGAGCCUACAGAUGUACACAGUGUGGGAAAGCUUUCUGUUGGCCCUCGUCCUUACGAAAGCACAUAAGAAUGCACAGUGAGGAGAAGCCCUACGAAUGUCAGCAAUGUGGGAAAGCCUUCUGGUACCCCGCAAACCUGCGAGGACACAUGAGGAUACAUGCUGGGGAGAAACUCUGAAUCCAAGGACCGUGGGAGAGACUUCAUUCUCUCUUCAAACUUGUAAUGUGAGCAGCACACUGUAGAGGAAACUUAUGAAAGGGAAAAUGUGGGAAAACCUUCAGCACUUCACUUACUUUGUACAUGAAAACUCAGAGCACAACAGAAAUCUUUUAACAGAGAUAAAUGUGGUUUUGACUUGGUAAGUGCCUCAUCCUGAAUAGGGAUCCCAGUGUAUUAAUUUCUAGCUCAUGUUGCUGAUCUGAAUACUUAAGAUAAUAACUAUCCCUCUAUGUCUACCUCAUCUGUACUACUUAUAUUUUGUUAUCUCCAGCUUUAAAUAAUCAUACAGUC